Molecule: transfer RNA, 73 nt
Filed under: Steroidobacter denitrificans
Lineage: Bacteria; Pseudomonadati; Pseudomonadota; Gammaproteobacteria; Steroidobacterales; Steroidobacteraceae
Rfam family: tRNA
About the family: Transfer RNA (tRNA) molecules are approximately 80 nucleotides in length. Their secondary structure includes four short double-helical elements and three loops (D, anti-codon, and T loops).
Source: Rfam by way of RNAcentral
GGGCCUGUAGCACAACGGUUAGUGCAGGGGACUCAUAAUCCCUUGGUUGCAGGUUCGAAUCCUGCCGGGCCCA